GCGGGUGUAGCUUAAUGGCAAAGCCCCGGCUUCCCAAGCCGGUCAUGUGGGUUCGAUUCCCAUCACUCGCUCCA
This 74-nucleotide transfer RNA is filed under the name Clostridiales bacterium. RNAcentral's name for it is "tRNA-Gly". It matches the Rfam family "tRNA". From Rfam's summary of the family: Transfer RNA (tRNA) molecules are approximately 80 nucleotides in length. Their secondary structure includes four short double-helical elements and three loops (D, anti-codon, and T loops). Further hydrogen bonds mediate the characteristic L-shaped molecular structure. tRNAs have two regions of fundamental functional importance: the anti-codon, which is responsible for specific mRNA codon recognition, and the 3' end, to which the tRNAs corresponding amino acid is attached (by aminoacyl-tRNA synthetases). tRNAs cope with the degeneracy of the genetic code in two manners: having more than one tRNA (with a specific anti-codon) for a particular amino acid; and 'wobble' base-pairing, i.e. permitting non-standard base-pairing at the 3rd anti-codon position. The record is from RNAcentral. Lineage: Bacteria; Bacillati; Bacillota; Clostridia; Eubacteriales.